AGAGUUUGAUCAUGGCUCAGGAUGAACGCUGGCGGUAUGCCUAACACAUGCAAGUCGAACGAUGUCUUCGGACAUAGUGGCGGACGGGUGAGUAACGCGUGAGAAUCUGCCUCUAGGAUGGGGAUAACGGUUGGAAACGACCGCUAACACCCAAUAUGCCGUAAGGUGAAAAAUUUAUUGCCUGGAGAGGAGCUCGCGUCUGAUUAGCUAGUUGGUGGGGUAAGAGCUCACCAAGGCUUCGAUCAGUAGCUGGUCUGAGAGGAUGAGCAGCCACACUGGGACUGAGACACGGCCCAGACUCCUACGGGAGGCAGCAGUGGGGAAUUUUCCGCAAUGGGCGAAAGCCUGACGGAGCAAUACCGCGUGAGGGAGGAAUGCCUUUGGGUUGUAAACCUCUUUUCUCAGGGAAGAAGAUCUGACGGUACCUGAGGAAUAAGUAUCGGCUAACUCCGUGCCAGCAGCCGCGGUAAUACGGAGGAUGCAAGCGUUAUCCGGAAUCAUUGGGCGUAAAGCGUCCGCAGGUGGUUUCCAAAGUCUGCUGUUAAAGACUGGAGCUCAACUCCGGAACGGCGGUGGAAACUUGGAAACUAGAGUUCGGUAGGGGUAGCAGGAAUUCCCAGUGUAGCGGUGAAAUGCGUAGAUAUUGGGAAGAACAUCGGUGGCGAAGGCGUGCUACUGGACCGUAACUGACACUCAGGGACGAAAGCUAGGGGAGCGAAAGGGAUUAGAUACCCCUGUAGUCCUAGCUGUAAACGAUGGAAACUAGGUGUGGCUUGUAUCGACCCGAGCCGUGCCGUANCUAACGCGUUAAGUUUCCCGCCUGGGGAGUACGCACGCAAGUGUGAAACUCAAAGGAA
RNAcentral lists this ribosomal RNA (857 nucleotides) under uncultured marine microorganism. RNAcentral's name for it is "bacterial SSU rRNA". It matches the Rfam family "Bacterial small subunit ribosomal RNA", at positions 8 to 909 of the family's 1533-position model. The record is from RNAcentral.